Rattus norvegicus (Norway rat) is the source of this 6008-nucleotide non-coding RNA. The record is from RefSeq and is a predicted model, not a curated record. Lineage: Eukaryota; Metazoa; Chordata; Mammalia; Rodentia; Muridae.
CUGGCCAGGUCCAAGACCAGAGACGCCAGAGAACUGGCCUGAUAUGUCAGGGACGGAGCAGAGGUUCAAACCUGGGUCACCUCCCAAGGGCGACCUGGGUCCUCCGGGUCUUACCCUUGGGCGAUGCCACCGGCUUUUCUGGUUGCUGGGGUAACCCGGAGUGACAGGGACGCUCUGGGAAGCCCCGCCCUGGCCCCGCCCCACCCCUGCACCGGGCUCCCGGGACAGCAGAGUUGGGCACACUAAGCGCGAGUCCCUCGGGCGGGCGGUAUGGCACGGCCGGUGCAGCUGGCGCCGGGCUCGCUGGCGCUGGUGCUGAGCCCGCGGGAGGCCGGGCAGGCGGCCGGGGAGCCGGGCGGCCGCGCGCUCUUCCGCGCCUUCCGCCGCGCCAACGCGCGCUGCUUCUGGAACGCACGGCUGGCGCGCGCCGCCUCGCGGCUGGCCUUUCUCGGCUGGCUGCGGCGCGGGGUGCUGCUGGUGCGCGCGCCCCAGCCCUGCGUGCAGGUGCUGCGGGAUGCGUGGCGUCGCCGAGCUCUGAGGCCGCCCCGAGGUUUCCGCAUCACCGCGGUGGGCGAUGUCUUCCCAGUGCAAAUGAGUCUCAUAGCCCAGCGUCGCUUUGUGCCCUUGGCUGAAGUUCUCUGCUGUGUUAUAGCCGAUAUGAACGCAGGUCAGGUGGCUGUGACACAGGAGGCUCUCUUGGAGCACUUGAUGAAACAUUAUCCAGGUAUUGCUGUUCCCUCCCCAGACAUUCUCUACAGCACACUGGGGACUCUAAUUCAACAGAGGAAGAUUUACCACACUGGAGAAGGCUACUUCAUAGUUACCCCAAACACGUACUUCAUCACAAAUACAACCAUGCAAGGAAAUAAGAGAGCCCUCCUGUCAGAUGAAGGGUGCUCAGGGUCCACGUCAGGGACCUAUCUGGUGAGCGUGGAUAGCUGUGCAGAGCCCACCCAGGAGAACGAGGUUCCUGUUUCCCACUGCCCAUCAUGCCAGUGUUACCCUGAUACAAGCAAGCAUGGCUCUAAGGACCUAAUGACUACUGCAGAAGUCUCUAGAAAAAGACAGAACGGUCUUGACAAGCCCACAGUCUUGACUAAGAAUCAGGUAGUUUCAGCAUCUGAAGACACCCACAUCUGUGUGAGCCCCAAACCAUCAUCAUACACCAAGGACAAAGGCAAAAGAUUUGGUUUCGGUUUCUUGUGGCGCAGCUUAUCUAGAAAAGAGAAGCCCAAGGCGGGGUAUCACAGUUUCUCUGCACAGUUCCCACCCGAAGAGUGGCCUGUCCGAGACGAGGACAGUUCCAACAACAUCCCCCGAGACGUGGAACAUGCAAUAAUCAAAAGGAUUAACCCUGUACUGACUGUUGACAACUUAACCAGGCACACCGCCCUAAUGCAAAAAUAUGAAGAACAGAAAAAACAUAACAGCCAGGGCACGUCAACGGAUGUACUGCCAAGCAGGCAUAAGUAUUCCUCGAAAGAGGCAACUCGGAGAAGGCAGGGCCAGGCAGCCAAGCCCCACAAGCGGAGCUGUUCUCAUAAGGGUAGACAGAAAGCAUGGAGCCAGACACGUGAGCUUGAGCCUGGAAGCCCUGAACAGGAAAAGGAAAAGAACCCCAAGGUCCCUGCAGCCCAGCCUGCUGCGAGCACAAAGAGCCCCAGUGAACGAGUUCAUCACUUGCAUGGUAGGAAUCCAGCUGUGCUAGGUUCCCACUUGAUUUAUAAAAAGCAGAUCAACAAUCCGUUUCAGGGCAUGCAUCUCCGAGGGCACCCCGCAUCCAAAGGGUACAUCGUUCAGAAGACCCACAAACCUAGUUGCAUCGGGCCAGAGGAAAAGCCUUUCCGGAGGGCAGGCUUUUCUGGUCCUUCCAGAGUCUUUGAUGGUGAAGCCCAACCUCCAUGUCUGGAACAUUGCCGUGAUAAACUGGAAGCAGAAACCACGCAUGUGGCGAAGGCUCCUAUCCAUCCAGUCAGCGACGAUUUCAGAGGUGGCCCAGGAAAUUAUCCUCCACAUAGAGUUUUGACAAGCCACUCUCGGUGCUGUUCCUUCAGGGAAAGUACGCUGCGAGCUGCUGUGUAUCACGAGGAAAACAAGGUCCUCCCUGAAGUCUUGAGGAAAAGUUGGUCCGACUGUGACAUGUUCUUAGGGACCAAGGAAAAGAAGCAGGUCCUGCCUGCACAACGUAGCUCUUUAGACCCAGACUCCUCUGUGUAUGCAGAGGAUAAGACAGUGGAUAAGACAGUACACCAGUUCCAAAACCUCGGCCUCUUAGAUUGCCCAGUUGGUGCAAACCGUUUGAGGACUCAUGAAAGACAAGAUGGCGACUCAGAAAAACUAAGUAGGAAGGCGUUUCAAAUCCCAGAGGCGGAGAUUGUGAAUAUGGAAGAGGAGGGGCUUUCUGACAGUGAGCAGGACGAGGUGGCCUUGAGUCAGAGUGACCCCGGGGCUGGGGAUGAUGGGGGCUGCAGUUCUCUGUGUUUAGAGGAUGACUUCUCUGAGACAGAUGAUUUCUGUCACACACUGCCUGGAUACACCCAGUACUCCUUUGCCGCUGGAAACUCGUGGAAUCAUUUGGGAAGACCAACCAUGACUGGAAGAUCUCUGACUGACUGUAAUAGCAAAACCCAUAGGCUUGAGCCUCUAGGGAUUGAAAGGAAUCACUGGUACAAGGCCACAGGGUCGUUUUCAAAUGCCAGGGAAAGCCCAAACCCUGAUCUCGCUGACAACCCUGGCCUAAAUUCAGAGAUUCCUCCGGGUUUCAACUACGAAGGAGAGCCCGUUGUUGCCCAUGUCCAGACCCCAGCAGCUGCUGGCCAAAGUUUACUUGAGCGUUCUAUUGUAAGGGAGGCCAGUCUCCCGGUUGAGAUCCUGCAAGAUUCUCCUGGUGAUAGGGGGGAGAAUCCAGCUGUCUGGAGACAGAGCCUUCCAAGUCAGGAAAUGAAAAAGCAUUUCACAGACAAGUUACAGCUUGUCAAGACCUCACACGUGCCAGCGUUGGCUCACCUGGAAGGCACGGAGAAUUCCAGCAUGGCGGGAGACAGUGGGAUUGAUUCCCCCAGGUAAGGGUGCAGAGGGCGUGAUGUGUCAGCGACUCAUCAGGAGUUGGUGUGGAGCCGCCCCAGUGAGGGAAUCCAGAAAUAAAAGUGUAACAAUUCCAAUGGCGUUGGGAGAGCAAAUCUUAUCAAAUUACAAUGGGGUAACAUGUGGUAGGACGGAGGUCACUUUUAAAAAAUAUUUUCUUUGAGAAUUUCAGACAAUAUAUAUCUUAAGGUUUAUUUGUGUGUGUAUGAUGUUGUGCCUGGGUGUAUAUUUGUGCUUGUGUCGCAUGCGCGCUUGUGGCCCACUGAGGACUGAACAAGUGCAUCAGACCCUGUAGAAAUGAAGUUUUGGUUGUAAGCCACUCUGGAGGGGCUGAGAGCUGAACUCAGGUUCCCUGCAGGAGCACCCAGUGCUCUUGAAGCAUCUCUCCAGCCCCACAUAGUGUGUUUUGAUUAUGCCCACCCUCCUUCCCACAAUUCCUCUUGUUCUCAAACUACCCAACUUUUUGUUUUGUUUUGUUUUGUUUUCUUUUUUGGGACAGGGUCUCUCUAUGUAGCCCUGGCUGUCCUGGAACUCACUUUGUAGACCAGGCUGGCCUUGAACUCUUAAAGAACUGCCUGUCUCUGUCUCCCAGUGUCCUCCUCUGCCUCUUCUUCCUCUUCUUCUAUUCCUCCUCCUCCUCUUAUCAACUUAGUGUUGCCCAGCUAGCCUAGAGUGGAGCCGGACCAGGAGGCUGGUUGACCCACAGGGGUUACAUCAUCAUAAAGAAAACUAACUCUAUAGAGUUCCUUUUUAAUUGAAACCAAAUUUUUCCUGGGAAUUACUUUUUUAAAGAUUUAUUUUUAUUCAUAUGAGUACACUGCAGCUGUCUUCAGACACACCAGAAGAGGGCAUCAGACCCCGUUACAGAUGGUUGAGAGUCACCAUGUGGUUGCUGGGAAUUGAACUCAGGACCUCUGGAAGAGCAGUCAGUGCUCUUAACCACUGAGCCAUCUCUCCAGCCCAGGAGUUAUUUUUAAAACUAGAAAAGAGAUAUUAAGAACAAGGCACUUUCAGAACUUUGGUUCUUUUUUUUUUUUUUUUUUUUCGGACCUGGGGACCGAACCCAGGGCCUUGCGCUUCCUAGGCAAGCACUCUACCGCUGAGCUAAAUCCCCAACCCACUUUCAGAACUUAAGAAAUGUAGGGUUUCUCGUCAGUCGCUGGAUCAUUAUAUGUUAAGAAAAGAACGUGACUGCUUCUCCCUCACUCAGCUUGCUUAAAUAACAUUGCUCAUAUGAUAAAUGUAAUAUGGACUUAAGCUAUUUAGUAUUCAGGGUUGUAGCCCAGCUGGUAGAGCACUUGCCUAGCAUUCGAAAAGCCCCUGGGCUUGAUUCCCGCAUAGAUGGGACCUGGUAGCAUCAAUCUAAUUCCUGCACUUGAGAAUGGGAAAUAGGAGUUCAAGAUUGCCCUUGGCUACAUAGCAUGUUCAAAGCCAGCCUGGGUUCAACACUCCCCCCCCCCCCACUGCACAAAAACUAAAUAUUAAAACAUUGUAAAUAACUGUGUGUGCUACAAAAAAUGUGGGGGUUACAGGUCAACUUGAAGGAGUUGCUUCUCUCCUUCUACUUUGUAGUUCCUGGGCCUAGAACCUCAGGUUAUCAAGCUUGGUAACAAGUGCCUACCCACUGAGCAAUCUUCCUAUCCCCACAAAGGAUUUUUAAAACUAAUGAUUCUACUAUUGUCUUUUGUUUUCUUAAGAUGUAUUUUUAUUAUUUAUUUUUGAGACAGGGCUUCUCUGUGUAGCCCUGGCUGUCUUGGAACUUGCUCUGUACACCAGGCUGGCCUUGAACUCAGAGAUCUGCCUGCCUCUGCCUCCUUUUAACUGAGAGGCAUGUGGCACCACCCCUCAGCAUAAACACAAGGUUUUUAACAAGAAUACUGGGCUAGAGAGAUGGCUUAGUAGGUAAGAGUACUGGCUGCUCUUCAGAGGCCCCAGGUUCAAUUCCCACCACCUACAAUUAUCUAUAAUUACAAUUACUAUAUUAUAAUUAUGUAUUAUAUAUUAUAAUUACAGCUUACAAUUGUCUAUUACUGCAUCGCCACAGGAUCUCAUGCCCUCCUUUGGAGUGCAAAAAGUGUGCAGACAAAAGGCCCACCCAGGGACAUAAAUGUUCUAAGGAGUCAUUCGCAGCCCCUGUGUCCUUUUCCGCCCAAUUUAUCACGGUUUAUCCUGCAGCUAUUAUCACAACAAUGUUGGAGUUUGGUUCUUUGUUUUGUCAGAUUUUUUUUUUUUUUUUUUGCUUCUGUGUGCACGACCUAGGUACAUCCAUGUGCAGAUCCCCUGGAGCUGAUGUUGCAGGCGAUAGAGCCACCCAGUGAGAUUGCUUGGGACGGAACCCGCACCCCAUACCGGAGCAACACGAGCUCUGAGCUGCUGAGGCAGCUCUCCAGACCCUCCCUGCCUUUCGAUUUUGAGACAAGGUCUUACUAUGUAGACCACGCUAGUCUCCAACUUGUGACUUUCUUGCUUUACUCUUCCAAGAUCUUUUUUAGGGGGGAGGGACGAGGUGGGAUGAGGCGCUGUUUCAAUUUUUGAGACUUCUUUGUAUCUAAGCUGCCUUAAACUCCAGAUUCUUCUGUGUAGCUCAGAGUGUGAUGGUUAUCACCUAGGAGACAUUAUCACCUAGGAGACAUUAUCACCUAGGAGACAUUAGCCAGAUGAGGUGAAUUGAGAUAGGAAAGCCCAUCCCAACUGUGUGGGCAGCACCAUAAAAAAAGAGUAAGCUGAGCAUGAUCUUCUCGACUGUCACCAGGGGAUGACCUCCACUUGAAGGACGCAGAGCCUGGUGUCUACUAAUUCAGCCAUGUUGGAUGGAUUUAAAAGACAGAAUUUUCUUCAGACUGGGGAAAGCGUUCAGAAGAGCCAAAAACUUGCAUCGAAUUCCUUGUUGCGACUAACUCCAGCUAUAAAUGUCUAACGUAAAA